Aspergillus steynii IBT 23096 is the source of this 138-nucleotide non-coding RNA. Lineage: Eukaryota; Fungi; Ascomycota; Eurotiomycetes; Eurotiales; Aspergillaceae. The record is from the annotation of a RefSeq genome assembly.
GCCUCUAUAGCUCAGUGGUAGAGCGCUUGACGUAAGCAACCCCGAUUCUACUGGCCAAUUCGAAUAUUUACUAACAAAUCAUCAGUUGUACCUUGAUAUGAGAUCAAGAGGUCCGUGGUUCAAUCCCGCGUGGAGGCA